This 72-nucleotide transfer RNA is filed under the name Amborella trichopoda. It matches the Rfam family "tRNA". Rfam says of the family: Transfer RNA (tRNA) molecules are approximately 80 nucleotides in length. Their secondary structure includes four short double-helical elements and three loops (D, anti-codon, and T loops). Further hydrogen bonds mediate the characteristic L-shaped molecular structure. tRNAs have two regions of fundamental functional importance: the anti-codon, which is responsible for specific mRNA codon recognition, and the 3' end, to which the tRNAs corresponding amino acid is attached (by aminoacyl-tRNA synthetases). tRNAs cope with the degeneracy of the genetic code in two manners: having more than one tRNA (with a specific anti-codon) for a particular amino acid; and 'wobble' base-pairing, i.e. permitting non-standard base-pairing at the 3rd anti-codon position. The record is from Rfam by way of RNAcentral. Lineage: Eukaryota; Viridiplantae; Streptophyta; Magnoliopsida; Amborellales; Amborellaceae.
UCCUCAGUAGCUUAGUGGUAGAGCGGUCGGUUGUUGACUAACUAGUCGUGGGUUUAAAUCCUACUUGGGGAG